This 563-nucleotide ribosomal RNA is filed under the name uncultured soil bacterium. RNAcentral describes it as "bacterial SSU rRNA". It matches the Rfam family "Bacterial small subunit ribosomal RNA", at positions 35 to 587 of the family's 1533-position model. The record is from RNAcentral.
GCUGGCGGCGUGCCUAAUACAUGCAAGUCGAGCGGGUUUACCCUUCGGGGUAAGCUAGCGGCGGACGGGUGAGUAACACGUAGGUAACCUGCCUAUAAGAUCGGGAUAACUAUCGGAAACGAUAGCUAAGACCGGAUAACUGGUUUUCUCGCAUGAGAGAACUAUGAAACACGGAGCAAUCUGUGGCUUAUAGAUGGGCCUGCGGCGCAUUAGCUAGUUGGUAGGGUAACGGCCUACCAAGGCGACGAUGCGUAGCCGACCUGAGAGGGUGAACGGCCACACUGGGACUGAGACACGGCCCAGACUCCUACGGGAGGCAGCAGUAGGGAAUCUUCCGCAAUGGACGCAAGUCUGACGGAGCAACGCCGCGUGAGUGAUGAAGGUUUUCGGAUCGUAAAGCUCUGUUGCCCUAGACGAACAGCAAGGAGAGUAACUGCUCUUUGUGUGACGGUAUAGGAGAAGAAAGCCCCGGCUAACUACGUGCCAGCAGCCGCGGUAAUACGUAGGGGGCAAGCGUUGUCCGGAAUUAUUGGGCGUAAAGCGCGCGCAGGCGGCCAAUUAAG